UAAGAAUUUUAGCUGUUUCCCUCACC
RNAcentral lists this non-coding RNA (26 nucleotides) under Mus musculus (house mouse). Lineage: Eukaryota; Metazoa; Chordata; Mammalia; Rodentia; Muridae. The record is from RNAcentral.